GUGCUCACUUUGGCAGCACAUAUACUAAAAUGGGAAUGAUACAGAGAAGAUUAGCAUGGCCCCUGCACAAGAAUGGCAUGCAAAUUCCAUGGACAGCCCACAUGGUA
This is a small nuclear RNA of Lynx canadensis (Canada lynx), 107 nucleotides long. The record is from Ensembl. NCBI's taxonomy places the organism in Eukaryota, Metazoa, Chordata, Mammalia, Carnivora, Felidae.